This 73-nucleotide transfer RNA is filed under the name Felis catus (domestic cat). It matches the Rfam family "tRNA". Rfam says of the family: Transfer RNA (tRNA) molecules are approximately 80 nucleotides in length. The record is from Rfam by way of RNAcentral. Lineage: Eukaryota; Metazoa; Chordata; Mammalia; Carnivora; Felidae.
GCCCGGCUGGCUGCAUCAGAAGAGCACGAGACUCUAGAUCUCAGGGCUGUGAGUUCAAGCCCCAUGCUGGGUA